GACGAACGCUGGCGGCGUGCUUAACACAUGCAAGUCGAACGGAAAGGCCCUGCUUUUGUGGGGUGCUCGAGUGGCGAACGGGUGAGUAACACGUGAGUAACCUGCCCUUGACUUUGGGAUAACUUCAGGAAACUGGGGCUAAUACCGGAUAGGAGCUCCUGCUGCAUGGUGGGGGUUGGAAAGUUUCGGCGGUUGGGGAUGGACUCGCGGCUUAUCAGCUUGUUGGUGGGGUAGUGGCUUACCAAGGCUUUGACGGGUAGCCGGCCUGAGAGGGUGGCCGGCCACCUUGGGACUGCGAUACGGCCCAGACUCCUACGGGAGGCAGCAGUGGGGAGUAUUGCACAAUGGGCGGAAGCCUGAUGCAGCAACGCCGCGUGCGGGAUGACGGCCUUCGGGUUGUAAACCGCUUUCGCCUGUGACGAAGCGUGAGUGACGGUAAUGGGUAAAGAAGCACCGGCUAACUACGUG
This 468-nucleotide ribosomal RNA is filed under the name uncultured bacterium. Its description in RNAcentral is "partial 16S ribosomal RNA". It matches the Rfam family "Bacterial small subunit ribosomal RNA", at positions 28 to 507 of the family's 1533-position model. The record is from RNAcentral.